This 73-nucleotide transfer RNA is filed under the name Candidatus Liptonbacteria bacterium RIFOXYB1_FULL_36_10. RNAcentral describes it as "tRNA-Met". It matches the Rfam family "tRNA". From Rfam's summary of the family: Transfer RNA (tRNA) molecules are approximately 80 nucleotides in length. Their secondary structure includes four short double-helical elements and three loops (D, anti-codon, and T loops). The record is from RNAcentral. Lineage: Bacteria; Candidatus Liptoniibacteriota.
GCCAGGGUAGCUCAGUGGUUAGAGCGAGCGUUUCAUAAGCGCUAGGCCGCGAGUUCAACUCUCGCCCCUGGUA